GCUGCCGGACGGGUGGUCGCUUCCAAAAAUGGGAGAGGAAAGUCCGGUCUCCAUAGGGCAGCGUGCCGGCUAACGGCCGGGGUCUGGCAACAGAUACGGAUAGUGCCACAGAAAAUAUACCGCCCCGGCAACGGGGUAAGGGUGAAAUGGUGCGGUAAGAGCGCACCGCGGCAGAAGUAAUUCUGCCGGCAGGGAAAACCCCACGCGGAGCAAGACCAAAUAGGGGAGGAGGGGCUGCCCGCCCCGCUCAACUUCCGGGUAGGUCGCUGGAGCCGUACAGUAAUGUACGGCCAAGAUGAAUGAUCGCCGCCCGCAAGGGUACAGAAACCGGCUUAUAGUCCGGCAGCCUUA
Molecule: RNase P RNA, 351 nt
Filed under: Candidatus Sulfopaludibacter sp.
Lineage: Bacteria; Pseudomonadati; Acidobacteriota; Terriglobia; Bryobacterales; Solibacteraceae
Description: RNase P RNA component class A
Rfam family: Bacterial RNase P class A
About the family: Ribonuclease P (RNase P) is a ubiquitous endoribonuclease, found in archaea, bacteria and eukarya as well as chloroplasts and mitochondria. Its best characterised activity is the generation of mature 5'-ends of tRNAs by cleaving the 5'-leader elements of precursor-tRNAs. Cellular RNase Ps are ribonucleoproteins.
Source: RNAcentral